GUAGGGAAUCUUCCACAAUGGACGAAAGUCUGAUGGAGCAACGCCGCGUGAGUGAAGAAGGUCUUCGGAUCGUAAAACUCUGUUGUUAGAGAAGAACGUGCAUGAUAGUAACUGAUCAUGUAAUGACGGUAUCUAACCAGAAAGCCACGGCUAACUACGUGCCAGCAGCCGCGGUAAUACGUAGGUGGCAAGCGUUGUCCGGAUUUAUUGGGCGUAAAGGGAACGCAGGCGGGUUUUUAAGUCUGAUGUGAAAGCCUUCGGCUUAACCGAAGAAUAGCAUUGGAAACUGGAAGACUUGAGUGCAGAAGAGGAGGGUGGAAUUCCAUGUGUAGCGGUGAAAUGCGUAGAUAUAUGGAGGAACACCAGUGGCGAAAGCGGCUCUCUGGUCUGUAACUGACGCUGAGGUUCGAAAGCGUGGGUAGCAAACAGGAUUAGAAACCCCUGUAGUCC
Molecule: ribosomal RNA, 450 nt
Filed under: uncultured bacterium
Lineage: Bacteria
Description: partial 16S ribosomal RNA
Rfam family: Bacterial small subunit ribosomal RNA
Source: RNAcentral